GAACCAUCGCGGCCGCCGCCAGCCGGGCCCUCCGCGGCCGCGCGUCCUGGGCCCGUUCCGCCAGCCCCGUCUGCUCUCUACCCGCGGCCCCGCGGCGGCGACCGUGAACACUCGGCGGCCCCUACAGCCCGCUCUCGGCCCUUCGUCCCUCGCGGGCCCCGACUCUCCCUCCUUGCAGUCCCCCGGAGCCUGGCGCCCGGCUCGGGCCGCACCGCCAGGGACUGGGGUGAGCGGCCCAGAAAUCUCCAAAUUGGACAUCCACAGCAGCAUUCUUGUUCUAUCUACGUCUUGAAUUAGAAACUACCAAGCUCUGUAAGUCCUGAAAAGGAAAUAAAAGCAAUUUCCUGCUGCAGAGAGCAUUUUAAGAAAGGACAGCAUUCCUGUGACCUCUGCCUACCAUCCAUAAAAUACUCAUUCCCCUCUCAGGGCAAACUUUGUUAAAAGGAAGUCUUACAUGGAGGAUUUAAACAAAACAGAUAAAAGCUGAGUGGAUUUGAUCAGAGUGGCUGGGGCUUGGAGCUUCACCCUAUGGCCUUUCCCAGAACCCUUCGUCCCCACAUGCUCCACAUCCUCAGCUCUGCAGACUCCAGCUUGAAAGCCUUCACCCUUGAAAAACAACCAAGAUGAAUGAGGAAGAGACAGUCAAAUAAAGUUAAAAACUGCAGGAGCAGCUGAAGACCAGCAGGAUUGCAGAGAUCCACCGUCUGGAAGUACUUCCUGCCUUGGCUUGCUGAAAUCCAGCAAAGAGCACAGAAUGACUGACCCUGUUCCUUGAGGCUGUGGAGGAUUCUCAGUGAUUCCACUGGUCAAAUGAUGUGAGACACAGGGGAAGACCUAUGAAAGCCUGCUGGUGCUAAGACAUUGAGCUAAAUGUCUUAAGUGGUGAAUAGUUCGAACAGAGAAGACAGGAACAGACUGCACAGGACAAGCCCAUCCAAAUCAGAGAUGAUGUAGAAGUGGUGAUGGUUCCCCUCCUAGUCAUGAAGGCUCUCACCCUGGAAGUGGACUGUGAAGUGCUCAAUGAGGAGAAGGAGUUUCGCAUACCCACCUAGAUCUCCAUCUCCCCAUGUUCAUAAGCAGUUGCCAUCACCUGAUUGUUGUAGUACUGGGGAUGCCAUAACAUAGAUAAAACCUGCUAAGAUUCUGUGAGUCAGUCCUGGGUUAUCCCAGUACCCUGGAACCACAGCUACUGGAGAUGUGGCCCUAGCAUUACAGAUAAACAAACUACAACAACAAAAAAGUGGCCUUAUAGAGAUUUUAGUUCCUAUUACCAACUAAUUAUAUUUCAGAUUUUUAUAUAUGGAUAUCUGUAAUAUUCUGGGGAAGAAAUAUAAAGACAGAAUUCACCAUGUCUCCUCGGGACUCUGUGAUGAUCUCUGCAAGAAACAGUGCAAAGACAAUUUUUAUUUGCUUUAAAAAUUAAAUGCCUUUUUUAUGAAGUAUAGUUUUAAAAUACUACGUAUUUUGUACUAAUAGUACUAAAAAUCAUGGCAAAUUUUUUUUCUCUGUUUUUAAAAAA
Molecule: small RNA, 1519 nt
Filed under: Pan troglodytes (chimpanzee)
Lineage: Eukaryota; Metazoa; Chordata; Mammalia; Primates; Hominidae
Description: processed transcript
Source: RNAcentral